GUGUCAGCAGCCGCGGUAAUACGGAGGGAGCUAGCGUUGUUCGGAAUUACUGGGCGUAAAGCGCACGUAGGCGGCUUUGUAAGUUAGAGGUGAAAGCCCAGUGCUCAACGCUGGAACUGCCUUUAAGACUGCAUCGCUUGAAUCCAGGAGAGGUGAGUGGAAUUCCGAGUGUAGAGGUGAAAUUCGUAGAUAUUCGGAAGAACACCAGUGGCGAAGGCGGCUCACUGGACUGGUAUUGACGCUGAGGUGCGAAAGCGUGGGGAGCAAACAGGAUUAGAAACCCCAGUAGUCC
Molecule: ribosomal RNA, 292 nt
Filed under: uncultured bacterium
Lineage: Bacteria
Description: partial 16S ribosomal RNA
Rfam family: Bacterial small subunit ribosomal RNA
Source: RNAcentral